This 750-nucleotide ribosomal RNA is filed under the name uncultured bacterium. Its description in RNAcentral is "bacterial SSU rRNA". It matches the Rfam family "Bacterial small subunit ribosomal RNA", at positions 43 to 784 of the family's 1533-position model. The record is from RNAcentral.
CAGGCCUAACACAUGCAAGUCGAGCGGUAACAGGGGGUGCUUGCACUCUGCUGACGAGCGGCGGACGGGUGCGUAACACGUAGGAAUCUGGCCGGUAGAGGGGGAUAGCCCGAAGAAAUUCGGAUUAAUACCGCAUACGCCCUAAGGGGGAAAGCAGGGGAUCUUAGGACCUUGCGCUAUCGGAUGAGCCUGCGUCGGAUUAGCUAGUUGGUGGGGUAAAGGCCUACCAAGGCAACGAUCCGUAGCUGAUCUGAGAGGAUGAUCAGCCACACUGGGACUGAGACACGGCCCAGACUCCUACGGGAGGCAGCAGUGGGGAAUAUUGCACAAUGGGCGCAAGCCUGAUGCAGCCAUGCCGCGUGUGUGAAGAAGGCUUUAGGGUUGUAAAGCACUUUCAGCGAGGAGGAAAGGGUUAGAGUUAAUACCUCCGAUCUGUGACGUUACUCGCAGAAGAGGCACCGGCUAACUCCGUGCCAGCAGCCGCGGUAAUACGGAGGGUGCGAGCGUUAAUCGGAAUUACUGGGCGUAAAGCGUGCGUAGGUGGCUAGUUAAGUUGGUUGUGAAAGCCCUGGGCUCAACCUGGGAACUGCAUCCAAAACUGACUGGCUAGAGUGCGGAAGAGGAGUGUGGAAUUUCCUGUGUAGCGGUGAAAUGCGUAGAUAUAGGAAGGAACACCAGUGGCGAAGGCGACACUCUGGUCUGACACUGACGCUGAGGUACGAAAGCGUGGGGAGCAAACAGGAUUAGAUA